The submitters of this non-coding RNA (114 nucleotides) gave its source as unclassified sequences. The record is from Rfam.
CAACUAUGAAGCAGGCAAUGGGACCGAUUUCCGUGUGUCUGUGGAGUUAUGUAUGUGGGUUCGGGUGAGUACCGCAGAUCGGUGUAGGCGUAAGCUGAAAGAAAACACCCUUGA